AGAGUUUGAUCCUGGCUCAGAUUGAACGCUAGCGGGAUGCCUUACACAUGCAAGUCGAACGGCAGCGCGGACUUCGGUCUGGCGGCGAGUGGCGAACGGGUGAGUAAUGUAUCGGAACGUGCCCAGUAGCGGGGGAUAACUACUCGAAAGAGUAGCUAAUACCGCAUACGCCCUACGGGGGAAAGGGGGGGAUCGCAAGACCUCUCACUAUUGGAGCGGCCGAUAUCGGAUUAGCUAGUUGGUGAGGUAAAGGCUCACCAAGGCGACGAUCCGUAGCUGGUUUGAGAGGACGACCAGCCACACUGGGACUGAGACACGGCCCAGACUCCUACGGGAGGCAGCAGUGGGGAAUUUUGGACAAUGGGGGAAACCCUGAUCCAGCCAUUCCGCGUGUGCGAUGAAGGCCUUCGGGUUGUAAAGCACUUUUGGCAGGAAAGAAAUCGCAUCAAUUAAUACUUGGUGUGGAUGACGGUACCUGCAGAAUA
Molecule: ribosomal RNA, 485 nt
Filed under: uncultured bacterium
Lineage: Bacteria
Description: bacterial SSU rRNA
Rfam family: Bacterial small subunit ribosomal RNA
Source: RNAcentral